This 730-nucleotide ribosomal RNA is filed under the name uncultured bacterium. Its description in RNAcentral is "SSU rRNA". It matches the Rfam family "Bacterial small subunit ribosomal RNA", at positions 60 to 802 of the family's 1533-position model. The record is from RNAcentral.
AGUCGAACGAUGAAGCUGGAGCUUGCUCCGGUGGAUUAGUGGCGAACGGGUGAGUAACACGUGAGCAAUCUGCCCUUGACUCUGGGAUAACUGCGGGAAACUGUAGCUAAUACCGGAUACGAGGCUCGAAGGCAUCUUCGGGUCUGGAAAGAAUUUCGGUCAAGGAUGAGCUCGCGGCCUAUCAGCUAGUUGGUGAGGUAAUGGCUCACCAAGGCGACGACGGGUAGCCGGCCUGAGAGGGUGACCGGCCACACUGGGACUGAGACACGGCCCAGACUCCUACGGGAGGCAGCAGUGGGGAAUAUUGCACAAUGGGCGAAAGCCUGAUGCAGCAACGCCGCGUGAGGGAUGAAGGCCUUCGGGUUGUAAACCUCUUUUAGCAGGGAAGAAGCGAAAGUGACGGUACCUGCAGAAAAAGCACCGGCUAACUACGUGCCAGCAGCCGCGGUAAUACGUAGGGUGCAAGCGUUGUCCGGAAUUAUUGGGCGUAAAGAGCUCGUAGGCGGUUUGUCGCGUCUGCUGUGAAAACCUGAGGCUCAACCUCAGACCUGCAGUGGGUACGGGCAAGCUAGAGUGCGGUAGGGGAGAUGGGAAUUCCUGGUGUAGCGGUGGAAUGCGCAGAUAUCAGGAGGAACACCGAUGGCGAAGGCACAUCUCUGGGCCGUAACUGACGCUGAGGAGCGAAAGCGUGGGGAGCGAACAGGAUUAGAUACCCUGGUAGUCCACGCCG